RNAcentral lists this ribosomal RNA (581 nucleotides) under uncultured bacterium. Its description in RNAcentral is "bacterial SSU rRNA". It matches the Rfam family "Bacterial small subunit ribosomal RNA", at positions 102 to 679 of the family's 1533-position model. The record is from RNAcentral.
ACGGGUGAGUAAUGUCUGGGAAACUGCCUGAUGGAGGGGGAUAACUACUGGAAACGGUAGCUAAUACCGCAUGACCUCGUAAGAGCAAAGUGGGGGACCUUCGGGCCUCACGCCAUCGGAUGUGCCCAGAUGGGAUUAGCUAGUAGGUGAGGUAAUGGCUCACCUAGGCGACGAUCCCUAGCUGGUCUGAGAGGAUGACCAGCCACACUGGAACUGAGAUACGGUCCAGACUCCUACGGGAGGCAGCAGUGGGGAAUAUUGCACAAUGGGCGCAAGCCUGAUGCAGCCAUGCCGCGUGUGUGAAGAAGGCCUUAGGGUUGUAAAGCACUUUCAGCGAGGAGGAAGGGUUCAGUGUUAAUAGCACUGUGCAUUGACGUUACUCGCAGAAGAAGCACCGGCUAACUCCGUGCCAGCAGCCGCGGUAAUACGGAGGGUGCAAGCGUUAAUCGGAAUUACUGGGCGUAAAGCGCACGCAGGCGGUUUGUUAAGUCAGAUGUGAAAUCCCCGAGCUUAACUUGGGAACUGCAUUUGAAACUGGCAAGCUAGAGUCUUGUAGAGGGGGGUAGAAUUCCAGGUGUAGC